RNAcentral lists this ribosomal RNA (495 nucleotides) under uncultured bacterium. RNAcentral's name for it is "partial 16S ribosomal RNA". It matches the Rfam family "Bacterial small subunit ribosomal RNA", at positions 28 to 507 of the family's 1533-position model. The record is from RNAcentral.
GACGAACGCUGGCGGCGUGCCUAAUACAUGCAAGUAGAACGCUGAAGGAGGAGCUUGCUUCUCUGGAUGAGUUGCGAACGGGUGAGUAACGCGUAGGUAACCUGCCUGGUAGCGGGGGAUAACUAUUGGAAACGAUAGCUAAUACCGCAUAACAGUAGAUAUCGCAUGAUAUCUACUUGAAAGGUGCAAUUGCAUCACUACCAGAUGGACCUGCGUUGUAUUAGCUAGUUGGUGAGGUAACGGCUCACCAAGGCGACGAUACAUAGCCGACCUGAGAGGGUGAUCGGCCCCACUGGGACUGAGACACGGCCCAGACUCCUACGGGAGGCAGCAGUAGGGAAUCUUCGGCAAUGGACGGAAGUCUGACCGAGCAACGCCGCGUGAGUGAAGAAGGUUUUCGGAUCGUAAAGCUCUGUUGUAAGAGAAGAACGAGUGUGAGAGUGGAAAGUUCACACUGUGACGGUAUCUUACCAGAAAGGGACGGCUAACUACGUG